UACGUAGGGGGGCAAGCGUUUGUCCGGAUUUAUUGGGCGUAAAGCGCGUGUAGGCGGUCCGGUAAGUCCGCUGUGAAAGUCGGGGGGCUCAACCCUCGGAUGCCGGUGGAUACUGUCGGGCUUGAGUACGGAAGAGGCGAGUGGAAUUCCUGGUGUAGCGGUGAAAUGCGCAGAUAUCAGGAGGAACACCAAUUGCGAAGGCAGCUCGCUGGGACGUUACUGACGCUGAGACGCGAAAGCGUGGGGAGCAAACAGG
RNAcentral lists this ribosomal RNA (256 nucleotides) under uncultured bacterium. RNAcentral describes it as "partial 16S ribosomal RNA". It matches the Rfam family "Bacterial small subunit ribosomal RNA", at positions 524 to 776 of the family's 1533-position model. The record is from RNAcentral.